RNAcentral lists this ribosomal RNA (406 nucleotides) under uncultured bacterium. Its description in RNAcentral is "bacterial SSU rRNA". It matches the Rfam family "Bacterial small subunit ribosomal RNA", at positions 986 to 1393 of the family's 1533-position model. The record is from RNAcentral.
GGAUAGGGGACUUUCAGAGAUGGAUUGGUGCCUUCGGGACUCUGAGACAGGUGCUGCAUGGCUGUCGUCAGCUCGUGUUGUGAAAUGUUGGGUUAAGUCCCGCAACGAGCGCAACCCUUAUCCUUGUUUGCCAGCGAGUAAUGUCGGGAACUCCAGGGAGACUGCCGGUGAUAAACCGGAGGAAGGUGGGGACGACGUCAAGUCAUCAUGGCCCUUACGAGUAGGGCUACACACGUGCUACAAUGGCGCAUACAGAGGGCGGCCAACUUGCGAAAGUGAGCGAAUCCCAAAAAGUGCGUCGUAGUCCGGAUUGGAGUCUGCAACUCGACUCCAUGAAGUCGGAAUCGCUAGUAAUCGUGGAUCAAAAUGCCACGGUGAAUACGUUCCCGGGUCUUGUACACACCGA